CCCGCUGAACUUAAGCAUAUCAAUAAGCGGAGGAAAAGAAACUAACAAGGAUUCCCCUAGUAACGGCGAGUGAAGCGGGAAAAGCUCAAAUUUAAAAUCUGGCAGGUUCCCUGUCCGAGUUGUAGUUUCAAGAAACGUUUUCGGUGUACUCCCGGGUAUAAGUCCUUUGGAACAGGGCAUCAUAGAGGGUGAGAAUCCCGUUUAUGACUCGGAGUUGUGCGCUAUGUGUUACGUUUUCUAAGAGUCAGGUUGUUUGGGAAUGCAGCCUAAAAUGGGUGGUAAAUUUCAUCUAAAGCUAAAUAUUUGCGAGAGACCGAUAGCGAACAAGUACCGUGAGGGAAAGAUGAAAAGAACUUUGAAAAGAGAGUUAAACAGUACGUGAAAUUGUUGAAAGGGAAACGUUUGAAAUCAGUCAUGCGGGCGGGUAAUCAGCUUGGCCUUCGGGUCUUGUGCACUUUCCCGUCUUUCGCAGGUCAGCGUCGGUUUUCUUGCUGUCGGAUAAAAGCCCAGGGAAUGUAGCUCCACCCUUCACGGGGAGGGGUGUUAUAGCCCGGGUUAAUACAACGGUGGAGACCGAGGUCUGCAGUCGAUGCUUCUUCGGAGGCUGGGAAAUCUAUCGCUCAUUCGCAUCCGCGCCUAGACAGCUUGCUGACUAGGUGUGUGGUCGGGGGUGACACGGUGGCCUACCACACAUUUCGACUUAGGUCGCUGACUUAAUGGUUUUAAAUGACCCGUCUUGAAACACGG
This 747-nucleotide ribosomal RNA is filed under the name uncultured fungus. RNAcentral describes it as "eukaryotic LSU rRNA". It matches the Rfam family "Eukaryotic large subunit ribosomal RNA", at positions 24 to 664 of the family's 3401-position model. The record is from RNAcentral. Lineage: Eukaryota; Fungi.